Long non-coding RNA from Oncorhynchus tshawytscha (Chinook salmon), 2911 nucleotides. RefSeq lists it as uncharacterized. Lineage: Eukaryota; Metazoa; Chordata; Actinopteri; Salmoniformes; Salmonidae. The transcript has 4 exons. The record is from RefSeq and is a predicted model, not a curated record.
UGGAAAAAGGGAAGGGUUCUGAAUACUUUCCGAAUGCACUGUAUAUUUUUCAUUACAAAAUGACAGCUAAGCAUUGAAUCUGUUUGUUGUUGAUAGCUACUGUCCUCAUGGUACCCAUCUAUUUCAGAUGGUAUUUGUCUGAAAACACAGUAGGCCUGUGAAUACUUGAGUCAUAUCAGGCAUUGGAACCGAGAGUAAUGACCCCUUGCCAAGCCCUCCAGAGGAGCAGCAGGCCGCAACUAGCACUGAAGCAAAGCAGCAGUCAGACAAGGAUGGAGAAGAUUUGCAUCAGAAAGAAGAGGAGAAUGGAAUUUUGUCCUGUCUACAGUCAGCUCGAGGGUGAUACAUGUGAAAGCACAGGGCAGUGUGACGGAGCCGCUGCUGCGAAAGCAUUGCGAGGCACUGCAUGCUGUGGCAUGUCACCCCCAGCAACCAGUUGUUGCCUUGGGCAGCCACAGUGGCACCCUGAAGGCAUGGGACUAUGAGCGCAAGGUGUCCAUCUGCAGCAGGGUCUUUGAGAAGGAGAGGCAGAUUCAGUGCAUCGCCUAUGACCCCCCCCAAGGUGACCCAGCAGGCCAGAGGCUUUUGUCAGUUUAAUUUCCUAUAAGUAAAACUAUAUGCAUAUGUAGAAAGAUCUCACAUUGAUGUUCUCACAUUUGAUUUGUGGUAUACAGAGAACUCCCCUUAAAAACAUCAUUCUCUGUUUGUUUGAGUUGGCUCAGCUUUGACCAGGCUAUCCUGUGCGUCAGUGAACAGGAUUAUACUUGGCAGUUGGAUUUGCAAGUGGAGCUGUCCAUGUACUGGAUGCUUGCACAUUGAAGAGUGAGGCAGAGGAGCGACUCAACUACAGCCACUCACAUUACCUUCUCUCCAGACUCCCUCUACCUGGCCACAGCAGUGAGCAGACACUGUGGUUCUGGCAUUGGGAUUGGAAAGUAACCGGUUUGAGCCCUCUACCUUGAAGCAUUAUAAUCAAACUGAAGCUAACAAAUUGCACGCUUCCCUCGUGUUUUGUUGCUACUGUCAGGAUGCUGGAAAAGCGGUGAUGGUGUUUGGCAUGUACACUGGUAGGAGCGUGCAGUGCUGGAAGUACCUGGUGAGGCAUCACUCCCACUAUAAGCCCAUCAGGGACUUCCUAUUUGGGGUGUACCUGGACAGCACCCAACCCAGACUAUUCUCCCUGGGCAUGGACCAGACCCUCACACUUAGUAGGGCUCUGGUUUACUUGCAUGCAGUGGUUCUUUACUUGCUGAACCACUAGGCAUGCUGAAUCACGUUGGAUAACUUUGCCUUGGUGUGUGGUGAUUCAUUAGGUGGAGAAUGACCUGGAGAAUAGCAAUGAGAAUGAGCUGAUGAUCCUGAGCGCAUUGAGCAGAGCGUCGGGCCCACCUGUAUGGCUUGGUGCACACCCCUCACCACAGAGGAUUUCCUGCUCACUGCCUCUGGCCUCUACAAAGUGAAGCUUUUCAACAGCAUCACCAAGAUGUGCAGGUGGAUCUCGAGAUUCUGCCCAUUGAUGGGAACCCCCAGGUUCUCUGCUCUGAUUUGCCACCCAACAGGGGUAUCUGCUAUGGCCUGCUCCAAUGACAUUCUAUAUGUCUUCACUGCUGGGGGUCUGACUGAAGUCCUCAUAUGGGAGAUUAGUUUAAAGAAAUGGAGGACUUUUUCUAUUACUGUCAGCUGUGUAAACAAGGCAUUGACUCCAUGGAGAUCCGACAGGUGUCCACCUGAAUCCCACUAGCAAAGGUCCCCUUUAUCAUGGGGGCUCUGGGCUUCCUCCCCAUUGAGCAAGAGGUACAAAGUCCUUAAUGAGGACAAAUCCGAUGACUAGGCUAAUGUGGGAAACGAUUGAUUAAUUUAUUACUUUGAUAAUUUUCUGUUUUUGUUACUCAUUUCGUUAUACUUUGUUAAGUUAUAAUGAGUUAGGUUCAGUAUAGAAAUAAUGUUUGUUGAUCAUGACUCUCUCCAGCUGGAGGACAUGCAGAACGAAGUAAAGUUCAGCAGGUAUGCUGAGACUGAAAUAUGUGACCGACAUAGACCUGAAGGAGUUUAUUAAGGUGUACGUCAACCAACAGCCAGCAUUUGGCAUCUCCAGGAAGUAGUUGCUUCACACUUUCCAGGUCCUGGGUGAUGAGAGAGCAUGUAGUGAACAGGGACGAGCUGCUGGAACUCUUCCAGGACAGAGAUGUGCUAGGCUAGCUGCCUGUAAAUCUGUAUUUUCUUAGUCUCCACAAGCCUGUUUGCUGUGCCUGUAUAUUUUUUAUGCAGGGUAGUGUCAGUAUCUACAAUUUGUUAGCCUUAUGUCUUUAUGUUCCCUUGUUCUGAGGCAGUGCUGGUAUUUCAUUCUAAUAAUACGUCAACUAUCUUUUUGCCUCAGCGGAACAUAUCACUGAGGACAAGCUGGCAGAAUUUUUCACCUCACUGGUAGGACUGAAUCCAAAGAGGGGGAGAUCUGAGCUGGAAGCCAUUGAAUGUGAUGGUAUGUAUCACCAUGUUGAGCUCAGAGUAGUGUCUAAAAAUGUGAAAAUGAGACGGAGACUACACAGCUUUGGUAGUCCACCAUUAAAAGUCUGUGUGUGUGGGACAGAUUCAGAAGACAUGCUGGAUUGUGAGAUCCUGGAGGAGAUUUCCAUGGAAACAUUUUCAAAUGAUUUCCUGGGGAUUGUUCCCUCCUCCCAAGAGGGAAUGUUGUCCCCCUCCGGGUCAGAAGUUGUAUAGAAAUUACAUGUUUUUUUAUUUUGGAAAAGUUUAUAUUUAUCAAUUUCCUUUAAAAACAGCUCAUUUUCAUUUACAUCGUUUAUACACAUAAAAACGGCAUAAAAACAGCAUUUGAGUAUUACAUUUAAAUGUGUUAAAUCUUCUAUCUACAGAGCUCGUGCUGCUAGGUGACCUAAACUGGGACAUGCUUAAC